GUCCUCACCUGCAUGGCUCCAUGGAUAGAGAAUCUCAAUUUCUGGAAACUUAAGGAUUCUGGCUGGAGUGAGAGAUUGUUGAAAAGUCUGUAUUAUGUGACAUGGAGACAUGGUGAUCAGUUUCCUGAUGAAAUUGAAAAGCUUUGGAGCACAAUUGCUAGCAAACCCAGGAACAUAAGUCCCGUUUUAGAUUUUUUGAUUGCAA
RNAcentral lists this unclassified non-coding RNA (205 nucleotides) under Hevea brasiliensis (rubber tree). Lineage: Eukaryota; Viridiplantae; Streptophyta; Magnoliopsida; Malpighiales; Euphorbiaceae. The record is from RNAcentral.